This is a long non-coding RNA of Ostrea edulis (European flat oyster), 1554 nucleotides long. RefSeq lists it as uncharacterized. Lineage: Eukaryota; Metazoa; Mollusca; Bivalvia; Ostreida; Ostreidae. The record is from RefSeq and is a predicted model, not a curated record. The transcript has 4 exons.
UGGCCAGUUGGUGUUAUUGCAAAGUUUACGGCUACAGCAAUGUGUCAUGAUUGUCAUCCGACAAAAAGGGUUACAGCCAGUGAAUGUUAUGACUGCAUGAACUAUCAUGGUCUGCAAGCAUCAUGUAACCUGGACAUCCAACUAGCCAAGAAACAAUGCAGUGGUGGAUCCAGAAUUUGUUAAAUGCAUGAAAGACAAAAGACUCACCAUCAGGAUUGUGAAGUGCACAGGUAUCCUGGGAGUUUGGUUGACCAUUAACACAAAUGGCAUUACUGUAGGCAUCUGAGGAGAAAAAGUUCCCUAAUUAGUGAAGAAGAACUGGGAAGAUUAAUACCAGCAAUUCCUCGUAACGGCAUGUCAAGGGCAAUCCUUUGUGGGCCUUCAACCUUGGAGGAAACAACAUCUUCAUGAUUCAUGGUUCCAUGGAGUCCUGGGUAAAUUAAACAUAAGUUGUGUUCUGUUUAUAAAUGGGAUUUAAAUGAAGCGUUUAAAGUUAACUCUAAAUUUUCAUCACUGUUGGCAAUCUAGAUAUGUUCUGAUUUGCCCACAUGUUGCCUAAAAGGUCUCUAUGUAGUGAUUAUAUGAUUUUAUAUUGUUGAAUUGUCACAUAAUUUAGACUGAGUAAUGCAAUUACAUGUAAUAUUUGUUGGAUGGUUAUUCUUAUGUUCAACAUUGUAGGUUAUACCUGACACUGUUUGCACUGACUGACAAGCUGUCUCUUCCUGUUCAUCUUCCAUGCGCUGAUCUUUAUUCAUCUGGAGGUUGUCCUCAAGACAUAGUUCAAAAAGUCCUGGAGAUUAAUAAACAAGACGUGAAAUACUAGAUGAAAAUAUAUAUGCACAUUUAGUAUCCACCAUUUUGUUUUUGUAAUUGGACAACAUUUUUGUAUUCAUAGCUAUUGUUUUUAUCAUUUUGUUUUAAAUUAUUUUUAUUUCAAUUUGUUAAAUUCAGUUUUAGUUGAAGGUUGAAUUUGUGCUUACUUUCAUUUCUAAUCACUUUUGGCUUCUUCCCACUAAAUGCCUUCAGUUUCAACAGUGGCAAUUGAAUGUCCCCCUUUCCAAAUGCAGCUACACAUUUUGCCCAUGAAUUCUCCAGGAGUUUGGUAGUGUCAGCAAAGGUGUCGGUACGGAAAUGUUGAGAUGAAGUAUUAAGUUGAUAAGGACCACCAUGAUUAGGACUGUCGUGAAAAACGAUCUCAUCUCCAUCCAAAUGCCACCAGAUGUUUUCUCCUUCUAGCAGGAAAUCGGCGAUUCUCUCACAGUGUGUUUGAAACAGAUAUGGUCUUGCCCUUAGCAUCUCAACUGGAAAUCUAGUGUUUUCAGCUGCAGGAAGUAAACGAGCCUGUUGUGUUAUCGUUGAUUCCUGUUUCUUGUAGCUAGAGAAUCUGUUUUGUUGUUGUUGGGCAUUGAACCUCACAAUGGCAUUGUCUAUUAUUCUCCCACAUUGUCGGUUGGAGGUGUUGAGAGAAAUUCUUCUCAUGUCUCCGAAGGAGCGUUCUUGCUGUUCUGGGAUGAGAGAUCUCAGGCAAAAGAUUCGGAAUAUCUGAGGAGCAUG